AGUUAUGUAGUUAAAAAACAAAAACAAAAAAAAAAGCCCUAAAGAGUAUAAUUUUCGUUUAAAGAGUGUAAUUUUUAUCUUAAAGUGUGCAGUUUACAUCUUAAGUACUGCAACUUAUGUCUAUAAUAAUGCAACGUUCUUUAAAACAGUGCAAUUUUAUUUUAACGGUGCAAUUUCAUCUUCGUCUUUCUUUUUUUAUAAUUUUCUGUUUUUAUUUUUUCUUCUUCAUUCUUUUACAAUUUUUUUUGUCACCUCUCUCUGCCAAUGGCCACGGCGCCGGCGACGACGCCACUAAGGACCCCCGCUCCGAGGUUGCGGCGCUGUAGCGAUGUGAGACCCCAAAUAGUCAUAUAUAUAAGAUAUAAUAGAACUAGAACUCUUAAUCCGGCUUAAGUAUUUUGGAUGGUGUCAAGGCCCAAGAGGCUAAGAGAGUUAAGCGUGCUAGGAUGGAAGUAGUUCUAGGAUGGGUGACCCCCUGGGAAGUUGCGGCGUCAAAAUUGGUAUCAGAGCUAAUUACCAGUUGGAAGUGUGAGAUGAGCCUCGAUUGAGCCAAGAUUAUACAGCGGGGAGAGCGAGGCUCUUAUGCUGUUGACUGUUGUGGGUGGAGCGCAGCUCACCACAAGGUCGGUUUAGGCUGGCGAGAUGAGUCUUACAUCGCCUGAUACUUGUGAGUCUAAGCCUAAUGAGGACGUCAGGGCUUAAGGGUGGGAGAUUAUGUGUAAUAUACCGAAAUUUAAUAUAAGAGUAAGUGUAAAUAAAAAUAGUGUAAGAUACUAUUUUUAUUGGACUUAAAGAGGUAAAAUAUAAGUCUGGAAUGACUUGUGUUAAAAUCGGAACGGAAACAGAAGAUUUAGAAUUUUUUAUAAGGAACGGGGCUGAUAUUUUAGCAGAAAAUUUACAGUGUCAGAAAAUUAUAAAAAUCUGGAAAUAUGUCGGGAUUAUUUUUAUGAGGCUAGAUUUAAAGUUUCAUAUCAUUCUGACACACGGAAGGUGAAAAAUAAAAUCAGAUUGCUAUCUGCUAGAGAUUUUAGUUCGGUAGAACUUUCGGUGAUAAAAAAUGGUCGAAACUGAAAGAUUAAAAUUUCUUUCUUCUUAUUAGCCUCAACCGAGCCUGACUGUCAAAUUUGAGCGCAAAUGGACAUUCAGAAGGGCUCCGGCGAAAAGUAACAGAUUCUGAGCUGCUAAACUGAAAUUGUGUAUUGUUGAGGGGGCUGUUUAUGAAAGGGAUUUUUGGUCCCUUUCUUCUUCCUCCUCAGCCGCAGCCAGCACCAACACCACACACGCAUAGAGAGGGAAAGAGAAACCCUCCCUUUCUCUCUCUAAAUAUCUCCCUACUCUCUUGAUCUUUUUCUCCCAAAUUCGGAGACUUGGUGGAGAGCGAACUUAGGAACGCGUGUGGAGCGUCGGAUCGAGCCUUCGUGCGCCCGGUUGAGCGGCGUGCUUCUGUCUCGAUGUUCACAUUUUGAUAAGCUUUUGGAAUUUGGUUUAAUCCUUAAUGCUUAGUGUUCUAAUAGCCUCUAAAAUAAUUCUAGCAUGUUUCUCCAUGAGAUUUUGGGAUAUUUGGAGAAUGUGUAGAGGCUAGGGUUAAGAUGCGGGUUUGGAGAUUAGAAGGUUUUGAUCUCAAUUAACCCUAUUAUUCCUCUAAGUGAAGAUUAGAGGAUGGCCUUUGACGACUCUAGGUCGAGAAUCGGCGAGUGUUUGGUUGCCGAUUGCGAGUUCGGGUCGAACCGGAUGACGAGUGCCGCGGGAGGCCGAUUGCAAGUGUUGACAAGCAAUCUGAGAGCGUUACGAGAUGGGUUGUGCUCACCGAAGAUAGCUCACUUACAUGUCGAAGUGGAGUGUGAUUUCCUUAUUGAUGCAUAUAAUGGUAGUUAAGUGCUAGAUGAAUUCAUGUGAUACAUGCUAGAUGAAUGCAUAAGAUAAAUGUUAAGUAAUGACUACCAUUGGACGAUGAAAAUAUGUGCAUGUUCACAUGUUUUGGGAUUAUGCUAGAUGAUAUAUAUAUAUAUGCAUGUUGACAUAUCAUGAGAUGCUAGAUGAUAUAUAUAUAUGCAUGUUGACAUAUCGUGAGAUGCUAGAUGAUAAGAUAUGCAUGUUGACAUGCCAUGAGAUACUAGAUGAUAUAUAUAUAUAUAUAUAUAUAUAUAUAUAUAUAUAUAUAUAUAUAUAUAUAUAUAUAUAUGCAUGUUGACAUAUCGUGAGAUGCUAGAUGAUAUGAUAUGCAUGUUGACAUACAAUGGGAUGCUAGUUGAUAUAUGUGCAUGUUGAGCUUGGGUCGAUAAACUCUAGGUGUCAAGUAGAUCGAGUGGCAUUUGGACUAGUGUAGUAGAAACACUAUGACAUGAACAUAGGGAUAGAUGAUUUUUCGAGUCGUUGAUAUGUGCCAUGUGAAACUAGUGUAGUAGAGACACUUGUGACAUGAGUAUUGGGAUUAGUGGAUCUCCUGUGUUGUUGUUAUCCCUAGUAUCUCCCGUGUUGUUGUUAUCCCUAGUAGAUAGGGUAUCCUCGAGUGAGAGGAUUGGAUCAUACUCACAUAGUCUGUUUGACCUUGGCAUGGUGGCCCCACCCAAGUAGCUAGCUUCGGAGUAGUAGUCGCGUUUGGGUAACAUGAUUACCCAGCAGACGGUCUCGGGUGUGUGUAGCGCAGAGUCUCCUCACCGCGAGAUUUGAGAUGUGAGUCGGGCGUAACCUUACGGUUAGCCAGUGAGAUUGGGUGACAUACAUUGUGAGCCGUGGAUGAAUCCCAGUAGAGAGGAUUUGCAUCCCAGUUGGCAUCCUAGUUGAGUGGAUUUAAGGCUGAGGUGCAUGUGAGACGUCCUUCACCUCGAGCCUGGUUUUACGCGGUAUUCCGCAGAUGAUUGACUCAAGACCGAGUCGGGUGGCUAGCUUGGUUAAGAUAGAAGAAACCUUGAAAGUAAAGAGUAAACGGUAUGGAUUAAAGGUAGAUGAAACCUUAUGAGCAGAGUUAUAAUUGACAUGAAUCUAAAAUAGAGGAAAACUUAGAAGUCAAUUGGAUGAGCUGUGAAUAGCAAGAUUGAAAGUAGAAUCGGUCGAUCUACUUAGCUUAUUGCAUGUUGAGUUGCAUAGUUGCAUGAUUUGCAUUGUUGCAUGUUGAGAGGCAUAAUAUGUAUUUUAAUACUUGCAUAUAUAUAUCUGUUCGAUAUCUGUUGGACUAACAUGUUGAAGUGCCUCCUUCGGACCUGGUGGGUCGAGCUCUUCCCUUGGGUGGCCAUAUCCACUGGGAACUAUGGACAAUAGUUCUCACCCCACGUGGUUUUGGGGUUUCAGGUUCACACGCGAGCGACGUAGUGGCGCGGGGAAAGGGCGUAGCUCCGUAGAUAGCGCCCUACCACUGAGACCAGAGAUGGCGGUACCCCGAGUUAGCCUACCUAGGGGUGUAGAAAAGAAAAAAAAACAUUAUUGUUUAAAUCUUGAUUGUAUUUGGAAGAAAAGAAAACGAAAAUGUAAUAUGUAAAAAAGAUGUGAUGUGAAUGCUUGUAAUAACUUAGUUAUUUUAUAUUUUUGAUACUUCGUUAUGCAAUCCUUACUUGAAAUCUGUUUCUGGUUAGAACCUCAUGAAUUGUAUUGAUUGUGACGCCUAGGACGUGCAGAAAAAACACUGUCCGUUCGGCGGUCCGAAUCUGACCAAAUAGGCGGGUAUCGGGAUGUGACAUUAUGAGACCUUAGAUAGUCCUAUAAAUAAAAUAUAAUAAGACUAGAACUCUUAACUCGGUUUAAGCAUUUUGGGUGGUGGCUAGGCCCAAGAAGUUAAGAGAGUUAAACGUGCUAGGAUGGGAGUAGUACUAGGAUGGGUGACCCCCUGGGAAGUUGGGGUGUCACAAGUGACCUCCAUGGCGUCGGUAUCGGCGAAGAUGCGUCAUCUUCGGAUGGGGCGGAGGAGGAGGAAGAAGGAGAGGACGAGAAGGGUGGGAAAGGGCGAAAGAGAUGUUGUCGUCGGAGACGGUAGAAAAAGGUUGGAGAGGGGGAAAAAAAAAAGUCGUAGCACUGCCUUGGCUGUCGCGGCGCGGCCUCGGCGAGAUCGAAAGCGAGGAAGGCGGAGGGUGUGCGGGCGAGGGCGAGGACGAGGGCAUGAGGGUGAGAGAUGAAGCGGGCCGUUUCCGCCUCCGCCUCUACUGCCUUCUUUGGCGAGAGAAAAAAAAUUAACAAGAGAAAAAAAAGAGGAGAGAGAAAGAGAAGAGAGAAAUGCCUUCUUCAGCGAGAGAAAAAAAAAUUAACAAGAGAAAAUAAAGAGGAGAGAGAAAGAGAAGAGAGAAAAAAUAAUAAGAGUAUUUUUGUUAGUUUGCUGAAAAUUCAGACGGAAUGUACAAAAUUGAAAAAGGCGGCCAGUUUUGCAAAAGCCCAAAAUUUGUUAAUUUUUUAUACAAAUUUACCAAACAUUAAUAUAACAAAUCAAAAUUGAGGAUCUAUAGAUAAAAAGAAUGUAAAAUAUGAAGAAAGCUAU
This 4462-nucleotide long non-coding RNA is filed under the name Ananas comosus (pineapple). Its description in RNAcentral is "long non-coding RNA (ACOM_LNC010433)". Lineage: Eukaryota; Viridiplantae; Streptophyta; Magnoliopsida; Poales; Bromeliaceae. The record is from RNAcentral.